Aquila chrysaetos chrysaetos is the source of this 126-nucleotide long non-coding RNA. RefSeq lists it as uncharacterized. Lineage: Eukaryota; Metazoa; Chordata; Aves; Accipitriformes; Accipitridae. The record is from RefSeq and is a predicted model, not a curated record. The transcript is spliced from 4 exons.
GUCAGGAGGUUCAGAGCUGGCCCCGUUGCUUUCUAGACUUCUUGUUAGAGAGGAGCUGAGGGGCGGCUGGAUCCGCUCCUAGUCCCAGACUUGGUCAACGGCAAAGGGAGAGACAGGGAGAGAAAA